Molecule: ribosomal RNA, 246 nt
Filed under: uncultured bacterium
Lineage: Bacteria
Description: partial 16S ribosomal RNA
Rfam family: Bacterial small subunit ribosomal RNA
Source: RNAcentral
GUAGGUGGCAAGCGUUAUCCGGAUUUACUGGGUGUAAAGGGCGAGUAGGCGGGAUUGCAAGUCAGAUGUGAAAACUAUGGGCUCAACCGAUAGAGUGCAUUUGAAACUGCAGUUCUUGAGUGAUGGAGAGGCAGGCGGAAUUCCCGGUGUAGCGGUGGAAUGCGUAGAUAUCGGGAGGAACACCAGUGGCGAAGGCGGCCUGCUGGACAUUAACUGACGCUGAGGCGCGAAAGCGUGGGGAGCAAA